Molecule: long non-coding RNA, 11797 nt
Organism: Homo sapiens (human)
Lineage: Eukaryota; Metazoa; Chordata; Mammalia; Primates; Hominidae
Gene: HSD17B2-AS1
Product: HSD17B2 antisense RNA 1
Exons: 2
Source: RefSeq, a predicted model, not a curated record
GAAAUAAAAUAAUUUGCAGUAUAAUAAUAAUUAAUAAAAUCCAAUUUUAAUGCAAAAAAGAAGGAGAGUUGAUGCCAUAAAUAGCGAGGUGUGGAAAUGUAAAAAAAUAAAAUAAAAUAAAAAAGAAUUUGGAAGGAGAGAUUCCCUAAGUUUUCCUUAGGAGGACAGGCAGAAUGGAGGGUGGACCUUAUCUUGUAAUGUUUACCAUUUUUGCUACAAAAAAGUACUUAUUUUUCUUCUGUAAUUUCUUUUUUUAAAGGCUAUGCUAAUUAGAAUGGAGACUGGUCAGUCCUCUAAGUGUAGAAAAAGGUGGAAGAGAGAGAGAUCCUAGCAUGGUUGGCAUGUGCGAACACUGCCAGAGAGAGAAUGAUAGUCAUGGCAAAAGGUGUGUGUACUCCUGUCCUUCUGACACCACCAUUAUGAGAUGAACGCCUCUGGUUGCCAUCACUGAUUGCAUUUAACGUUUGCUCCAUCUCCUUCCUUCUUAUGUCUCCAUGUAUGUCAUUGCCCAGCAAAUAGCUCUUGAGUGUAAGUGGUUUCCUCCCUGGGGCUGGCCAGAGGAGGAGAUGGUACCAACUGAAACACAUGCAAGUGUCUGGACCAUGUGAUAGACACCUGUCUUAGUGUAAAUUAAUGCAUUAGAAUUCUGGUACUAAUAUAUAAUAUAUGUGUAUAACCAUUUUGUGAGCCCAGUUCCUGAAGAAAUGGACCUGUUGCUGGACAAAUCCAACUUCUGGAUCCACAGUGCUGAGGCCAGAUGCUGGACACUGGCAAGUUCACCAGACUGCAGACCAGUGCUGUGUGUGCUCUCCCUGGAAUCCCCUAAAUACCAGUAGUGGUCAAGUCUGUCUUAUAAAAUUAUUCCCCAAAUGUCUACAGUAGAAAUUAUCCUUCCUAUCUUACAGAUGAGGAAACUGAAAACAAGAGAUGCCAAGAUCACACAGAUGGUAGGGAUCGACCUGGACUCUAUUGGAUCCUAAAUCCAAGUUCAUGAGUCACUGUCGUACUGGACCAGCCACCUUCUCCUUCAUCUGUGUCAGCAGAGAAGGGAGGUUUGGGCAAGCUAAUCCCAGGAUGAUCCUCUUGUGGUCUGUAAGAAAGGGUAUGAAUUAACCUGAAAAUAACUAACUUUGAACCAGGUUGGAGUUAAAAGUAUCUAGAGCCUGGUUAUACACACCCUGCUGGGUGAGACCAAGUGUUUCGUGGACAGCCUUUCCCAUUUUGUGAGGUACCAUACCUUAUGCUUCUGCCUUAUUAUUGGCACAGCUAGAUAUAUGGGGGCCAUGGAUUUUAAAGCCCCCAGUUCCCCCUAGAGGCUUGUGUGAUAUCAGGAUGCCCAGCAUGUUCCUUCUGCACAGAGAAGAAAACUGUUCUGCAGUGCAGAGACAAACACCAUGACCUUGACUCUACGGAGCACAUAAACAGUCAAUCAGGGUAUCUGCUGCUCUCUAGAGAGCUAAGAGAGGGGGAAAGGGGUCAUCCACCCACUUAGAGCUGCUGACCAUGAAGGCAUGCAAACUGUCACCUGUAUCCAAACCUGAAGUCCAUCAUCUGCUCCCCAAAUCCACCUGAGAAUCAUGAACUUUGCACUUUCCAAUCCUUCCUUUGGCCUUGCAUCCCACAAACACUUUGAUGUGUUCAACACUGUGUGCCUCCACACAAGAUGCUGAGAGCUUCCCAGCUUCCCCUUCCCCACAGGGGUCCACAAGGUUAUAAUUGUCCUGUGUAACUCCACCUCUUGUCUGGGGCUGAUUGGACCAGAGUCAACCAGCUUUUCUCUUUCAGAAAUGUGGAAUUGUGGCUGCAAGAUCCAAAGCAGUGUCCGAUACUGUCUGACCAAAGAGGUCAUUAAACUCAAUAGCAAAUGGGGGGACUGGGUGGCUGUCUUCCUUCAUGCACAUGGAGAUAUGGGCUAAGUCCUCUUGAAGAGUAACAAGAGGCAAAGCUACAAAUAAGAGCAGAGUCUGAGGUCAGAUGUUGUCCACAGACAUAGACGAGCAUCUUCUUGGCUCAUGAUAGCUUUCCACUCUCUGGUAAACCUCAAGUGCUCUCUUCCCCAUGUAUGCUUUAAGAAAUUCCACAUCCUCCUAAUAAUCCCUCUUCUUUCUCGAGUUAGUUUUAGUGUCUUUCCUGAACAUCUUUUUCACUUACUGCAGACACUAAAACUAGUUAUCUUUGCUUUGGAAAACAGUCCUCAAAAGGUUAAACAUAAUGUCACCAGACGACCUAGCAAUUCUGCUCCUAGGUGUGUACCCAAGAUAAAUGAAAAUAUAUAUUUACACAAAAACCUGUGCACAAAUGUUCAUAGCAGCAUUAUUCAUAACAACAGAAAAAAAGAAACUAACCAAACAUCCAUCAACUAAUGAAUGGAUAAAAAAUAUGGUAUACCCAACAGUGAGAUAUUAUUAAGCCAUAGAAAGGAAUGAAGUUUCUAUGCUUGCUACAGCAUGAACAUUGAAACCAUUACACUGAGUGAAAGAAGCCAGCGUGGCAGGUAAAGGGAUGCGAGCAAGGAGGAGACAUUGUGAUCUUGACUCCUUUUCCUUUGAGUAGAGGAUAAUUUGUCACAUUUUGGAAGGCAGUGCCUUUGAGCAGCUUCAUGAGCCUAGGAUCUGACUCUCUUAGGAAAGUUCCUUGGAAGAGCCUACAGGUGACAACAGUGUUGAACUUUAGGCAAGCCCUGUGAUACUGGAAAAUUGCAAAGGUUAAGAAAUGUCCCCACCCUUUUGUGUUCUGGGAAACAGCUCACUGCAAAGAACUCCCUUCCCCAUAUGACUUAGAUGAGACUCAUAGGUGCCCCCACUUGUUUACCUAUGACAAGGCCAGACCCAGAGCCUCCAAACUCCCUUUCUUUGUUUUUGUGGUUAGUUUAACUGCCUGUUUCCACUGGUCAGUCGGAACAAAGUGUUCGUUAACCUAACUUUGGUGUAGAGUCUCUCCUUUCCCCAGGUCCUGGCCCACCCUCAGCCUGAGCCAGCAGACAACUCCUCUUUACAGACCUUCCUGAUCAGCCCUCAACCACUGUCUGAUUGUGUCACUCUGAUCAUCCCAGCCCCCAACACCCACUUCUUUCUAACCUUGUUUAUGCCUCUUUAGCAAAGCAAAAUAUUUACUGCCUCAUCUUGAGACACUUGCAGAUUAAGUGGUCAGAACAUUCCCUCUACUGCAAUAAUCCUUUUGAAUAAAGUCUCUCCUAACUAAAUCUGAGGUUUUUUUUUGUUUGGCAGUAAAUUAAUGAAGCCAAAGAUCACGGGAGACCAUCUGCUUGUGUUUACCCAUGAGGCAGUGUGGCAUAGGCGAAUGGGUGCGAGUCUAGCCCUGCUAUUCCUGCCUGUGUAACCCUAGAGAGCCUUUCUAAUUACUCUCUGCCUCUGCUUCCUUACCUGUAAAAUGGGCUAAAUAAUGGUACCUGUGUCAGUUAAUAUUUGUGAAAUGCCUAAUAGAGCCUAUUCCAAACAAUUACUACAUCAGUCUUUUUAAAAAAUAAAACUGUGUCUUUAUUUUAAUUUUCAGAUGUUUCCACUCACAAUAUUGGUAAAUGUAGAGUUUGCCUCUACUGACUGUCAGCUGAACAUCUUGGUUAAGACUCAGACUGCCUGAUUCUUCUCUUCCACUUACAAGCCUUGGGAAAGUCACAUAUAACCAUGUGGAACCUCCACUUCCUCACAUGGAAGGACCCUCUCGCUAGAAACAUUUGGAUACAUGACAGUUCGCUUGCUCUGACCAAGGAGGAACAGCUGCCCAUACUCAGUUCCCUGGGUCUAAGAGACACUCAGACAACAUCUUUGUUAAAUUCAUUAUUUGCAAAGGCCUGGGCAGAAGACCAAAACAGAAAAAGAGGUAAGAGGAUCCAGGCGUAGCUUCUCAAUUUUUGGCAAACGAGAAUGCCCACCUGAACAACAGAGAGGGGCACAGCCUCCCCAUUCCCACAGCCCACCAAGGAAGGACCUGGGAUUGCUCAUUUUUCCAGGGACCAACCCGUAUAAGAAUAGUCUCAGCAAACUACCUACAAGACCUCAAAUCUCGGAUACGACUUGAUUCCUGGUCAUACACCGCACAGACAUUAUUUCCUGAGCACCUAUGAUGUGGUUGGCUCUGUAUAAGGCACUGACGGCACAGUGUGAUCCUAUCCUUGGUGAUGGUGAGCCCUUGAUAGAGACCUGCACCAGGUGCCAAGGGCACAUGAAGAAGCAUCCAAAGCCCGUGGGGUCUGGGAGAGAGCAGGGAAGAUUACACAGUUAAGCAAACUCUCAAAAGUAGUAUCCCCAUUUUACAGAUUAGUAAUCUGAGGCUCUGAGAUGUUAAUUAUCUGACCCAGGUCACACAGCAAGAAGCUGGCAGAGCUGAGAAGCUGCAACUAACGAUUCCGAAGUCCAUGCUCUUUUUUUCUUUUUUUAUUUUACUUUAAAUUCCGGGAUACAUGUGCAGAACUUACAGGUUUGUUACAUAGCUGUAUGUGUGGCAUGGUGGUUUGCUUCACCUAUCAACUCGUCACCCUAGUGUUAAGCCCUGCAUGCAUUAGCUAUUUGUCCUGAUACUUCCCCUCCCCUCACCCUCACCCCCACCCCAAUAGGCCCCGAUGUGUGCUGUUACUCUCUCUGUGUCCCUAUGUUCUCAUAGUUCAGUUCCCACUUAUGAGUGAGAACAUGCGGUACUUGGUUUUCUGUUCCUGUGUUAGUUUGCUGAGGAUGAUGGCUUCCAGCUUCAUCCAUGUCUCUGCAAGGGGCAUUAUCUCAUUCCUUUUUAGUCCAUGGUCUUUUUGCACUGCUAGAUAAUCUCUCUAACCCUGGCGGGAAGGCACUUGCCUGCCUAGCAGUCUUUGUUUGCUCAUGCAUUCAUUCAUGCGUGCAUGCAUUUCUUCAACAGAAGUUUAUUAAGCAUCUACUGCAUACCAGGAGCCGUACGCAAUGCUAUCAUUACAGAAUUGAAUGAAAUAGUCAAGAUAGUCUAGUGGGACUAUGACACAGAUAUUUACUAGAUAAAUAUUCAAUUUCAAGGUGAGAAAAGUUCUAUGAAAGUAACAAAUAGGAUAUGAAGAUUGAGAAAUACACCUGGAGACUUAAAGCCUGGAGAACAGAGAAUACCUGUUCAAGAAGUUAAUAUUUAAGCUAGUAGUUAUCAGUUGGCAGGGAUUUUGUCCUCAUGAGGCAUUUGGCAUUGUCUAGAGACAUUUUUUCUUAUCACAACUGGGGAGCAGAUUAUUGUGUCAUCCAGUGAGUAGAGACUAAACAUCCUAUAAUGUACAGAAAAGUUCCAACGACAAAGAAAUUUUCCAGCCCCAAAUGUCAAUAGUGCCAAGAUUUAAAAACAAAAACAAAAACAAAACAAAAGCAUGACUACAAGCAGUUAAUUGUCAUGUCUUAGACUAAGACAUGAAGGUGAAGAAGAAGCCAGCCUGUAAAGGGUGGAGGAAAAAGCAUUCCCGGUGAAAAGAACAGUAAAUGGAAAGACUUUAGAGCUUGGUGCUUCAAGCUAACUAGCAGGGGAGAGAGGUGUGGGAUCUGGGGGCUCGGAUUCCACAGGGCCUUCUGGUCUUGGGCAAAAGUUUGGGUUUGAAUUCUCUACAGCAGAAAGCCUUUGAUGGGUCUUAAGCCAGAAAAAGACACUCAACCUACUCUGCAGAGAACAACUUAAAGAGACAAAAGUGGAAUCCCAGAGGCCAGGGAGUAGCCCUAGAACAAAUGACGGUAGCUUUGACUACAUCAGAAGCAGGGGAGGUGACGAGCCGUGGACAUAUCUAGGUGCAGUUGGAAAGUAAUAGCCUCAGCACCGAGAACGAAUUGUAUAUGGGCGGGCAGGGGAGAAGAUGGGCAGAGAAAUGAGAAUGAAGGGGAGUUCUUGGGAUUCUGGUCACUACAGAAUGCUGGGUAGUGCAGCUCACCAAGAUGGGGAACCCUGAGCAAGGGCCAGGUAGGGAAGGGUCCCAAAUCAAGAACUCAGUUUCAAGCAUAUAAAGCGCAAGACAUCCAGUGGAACUGAGUACAUAAGGUGUUGGAGAGAGAAAUUGUUUAUACAAGAUUUUGAGCUGUGGUUCAUUUGUAAAGUAGGGCUGGCUAUCCAUUAGCUUCACCUGGGACGGAGGCGCUCUAAAGAAACACCAAUGCCCAGGCACAUGCCUUAGAUCAGGUAAACUUGAGCUCUGGGAGUGGGUGCCCAAGCAUCAUUAUUUUUUAAAAGCCCCAAGGUGAUUCUGACACACAGUGACAGUUGAUAUCCACCGGAUUCAAGAAGCUGUCCCGAGGUGGAGACCUUCUCUGUAUGCAUGCAGCCCCACUAUGGGGCUGAGAAGCCUCACCUUUGUGCCUUACCAAAGGAACUGUCUCUAGUUUGUGUCUAUUUAAAAAUUCCAUCUCUGCUGCUUCAGUGGUUGGCUGAAGUCUAUCUGUAAAAACAAUGAACUGCUUGUAGUCUUGGGUGUUCUUGUAUUACCUGCAGUUCCAGACCUUUUGUUCCAAGACUCUCUUGUUUAUGGGAAUGUCAGUCUCCUGAUAAAGCCCCAGGGCUGUUUCCUCUCUUUCAUUCUUUGGGAGCCAGAAUGUUUGCAAUCUCUCUUGUGAACUUUCUUUCCGAAAUGCUCACAGCAUCUUCUGACACCUUGUACUCAAAGCAGGAGAUAUAUUCAGACCUGGCCUAUUCUUCAAGGUGCAGUUAAAUCUCCAUUCCCUUUAUUAUUAUGGGGCACCCAUCAUGUGACUUGCUUUGUACCUGGCACUUGGGGAAACCAUGAUGCACAUGAAUGACAUGACCCGUCAUCUAGGAGAAAGUAUCUCAACUUCAGAGCUAUUGACAUUUGAGGUCAGGUAAAUUUUUUGUGGUAGGGGCUGUCCUUUGCAUUAUAGAAUGUUCAGUGGCAUCCUGGCCUCAACACUCAAUACCUGUAGCAUGUUGUCACUCCCCGCUACCCUAUAGGUUUUGACAACCAAAAAUAUCUCCAGAAUUGCCAAAUAUUCCCCUAGGUAACCAAAUUGCUCCCAGUAAAGAACAAUUGCUUGAGAGGGAAGAGUAUAUUAAAUAAAUAGUCACAGAGAAUGCUGAUAAAGAAUAUGAAAGGGUCAUAAACAGGAGAGAUGUAAUUGAACAGAAACAUAUAAGCUCAACAUGGGACUACCUGUUCCAGCCCAGAAAGUAGCCAGGAUUAUUUUCAUCAUAAUGCGUUCUCUGGUUACUUUAUUGUCCUUUGUCUUCUUUGAUUUCCUACAGCAGCAUUCACUGUUUGUGUACUAUGCAGCCAGGCUCAACACUAAGCAUUUGGCAUGCUCAUUUCAUUUUAUUCUCAUAACUAUUCUACUGACUACAAGCAGUACAUUGUCACAUCUUAUACAACUACCCUAUAACCAACACUGGCACCACAAACAAUUGAAGAUUUCCUAUAUAAGUAAAUUGCCUUUCUAACCAAUAACAUGUCAUAUUAGCCUUGCAAACUAGAACAAAAGCUGCGAUGUCUAUAGUGUCCACUUUUUCUUUAUCUCUUAAGCAACAGCCUCCUAGUUCAUCAGUUAUCACAAUCCUUUUUGUACUAUUAAUGUCUCUUCUUCAAGUCCUUCCUUCUGGGUCUCCAAAUCACUCCCCAAAUUUCUCUCUUCCACCAAACUUUUUCUUUUGAUCUUCAUGUUCCCUGGAGCUAAUUCCCCAUCUUCUCCUUCCCUUUUCCACCAAAAUUCUCAAAUUUUCAGAGUUGCUCACUAACAUCAUCUCCUUGCUGCCUUUGCACUGGGACUCCUUCCUGUGCCCUUUCCUGAAAGAAUUCUCUCUAAUCGGUAUCCCCAAGGCAGUGAAAGCAGAGCUAUCAGCUCAUCUCAUUUUCUCUCUCCUCCAUACUGGAUGUUGUUUGUAACUAUUUUCCUUGGAACCCUACACCACCCAGGUCUCCCUUCCACCUCCUAUCCUAUAGGUAUGAGUGGACCCCACCGCCCAGUGCCCUGUCCUAAUCUCUGUCUACACUCGUCUCUCAGAUAUCUUUUUAGGUUUCAGAGCUUCAUUUGUCCUACCUAUGUGGAAGAUUAAUCUAAUUUUAUCUUCCAUCUUGGGCUGUUUCUUGUAUUUUAGCCUCAUUUCUCCAAUUUAAUUUGGACACCACCACCUGAAUACAACCUUGGCAUGUCAAAUUCAACAUGUCUCAAACAAAAGAUAUAAUAUUUUUCGCAAAGUCAGCUCCUCUUCCUCAGUCUCGCAAGACCUAUGGUUUCUCUUCAUUGUAAAAAUCACCCUCAGACCCUCAGAAUCAUUCUCUACAUUCCUUUGUCUAUGCAUUCAUUCCUUGAGCCUGUUGUGGACACCAUGUUUUUCACUGGGGCCAUAGUGCCUCCCUGCAUGGAGCUCAUGGUCCAUCUGGAAAUCCAGGCAGUCAAAAGAAGAAUCAGAAAGGGCAUAUGAUGAGAGCCAUGAUAGGGAGAGUCCAAUGUGCAGUGGGUCUCUCCUUUUCUUCUCUGCCUAGGUCCAAUAAGACAGCAAGUCCUACAGGGCUUCCUUCAUAAAGUCCCUCCAGUUGGCUGCUUGCCCUUCCAACUCAUGGCCUCUACCCCAGUCUCCUACAUCCUCUUGCCUCUUCUCACUUCUGCCCACUUCUCUGAACUCUCACACAUUAUACUGUCCUGCAAUAUACUGGCUUCUUGCCUACCUGCUCCUCUAUACUGCAAGUUGAUUCAAUGUCAUGAACGCAUACUAUUUGCCACUAUAUUCCCAGUACCAGGCACAGAGUUGCUCAAUAAGUGUUGGUGAAAUAACGAAUGAAUGGAUUCUAAUCCCCUUUCCACACUGCUAAUCAGAGUUCUUUUUUAAAACCCUCCUAUGCCAUUGUCUUCUUCUCUAGCUCUUCCCUAAACUUCAUUCUUUAACAACAUACCAGGUAGGUUCUGAAGUAGUAAUCUAAAGGUAGCCAGGUAACAAACCCCGGGCAUGACUGGGAAUAUUUGGAAAACAGUGACAAGCUUCAUGAGCACAGAGCACUUAUGAUUGCUCACUGGAGAAGUGCCACCCCUGCUAAUGGAGGGAGAUCAGGAAGUUCCUGGCUGUUCAGUCUUUAGUGUUCUCUGGUGCUAUGGGGUAAGGAGUUCUCUUUCUUAAGGAAUGAAAGUCAGCUUUGCAUAAGAUUCUGUGUCUGAAUGCGGAAGGUGCUUGGGUCAGCUGAGCAGGUCUGAAAAAGAUGGCAGCCAAUACCCCUUUCCCUCAAGGGGAGCACACUUGCCAUCUACCUUUUUGCACUGCUUAUAUUAUCUUCUUGAGCUAAAAGACCUGCAUUUGAAUUCCAGCACUGCCAAUUACUUAUUUGUCACUUGGCCUUAGUUAUGUAAACUCUUGAAAAACCUCAAUUUCUUCAUCGUUGAGUGGGGUUAAUAAUAAAAACCAUUUCAUCAGUAUCUGGACCAUGAUCACUCUAGAAUAGGGGUAUUGAGUAUACUGUGUACAUUGGCUCCUCUUGUGUACACUUAAAGAUUUUCAUGAUUUUUUUUUUUCCAUUAUCAGCUCACUGCAACAUCUGACUCCCAGGUUCAAGCGAUCCUCCUGGCUCAGCCUCCCCGAGUAGCUGGGAUUACAGGUGCCCACCACCAUGCCCGUCUAAUUUUUGUAUUUUUGGUAGAUAUGGGGUUUUACCAUGUUCCUCAGUCUAGUGUUGAACUCCCGGGCUCAAGUGAUCUGCCUGUGUCAGCCUCCCAAAGUGCUGGGAUUACAGGCGUGAGCCACCGUGCCUGGCCCAUAAUAUUUUUUUAAAUUAUCUUAUAAGGCGUUUGUGAGAAUUAAAUGAAAUUAGGCAUGGAAAGUGCUCCUUACAGUAUCUGACACAUAGGAAGCCUCUGAUACAAGGUGGCUCUCAACAGCACAGUCACACCACUGUCCUGGCCAUGAGGGUUUUGUGGCACCGAGAUCAUCUUAUCCAUUCAUUGGUUUGUUGUGUUAUGUCUUCCUCCGCUAGAAUUAAGCUUCAUGAGGCAGGGCCUUAUUCUGUUUUUGCUCCACACUGUAUCUCGAGCGUGCAUAGUAGGCAAUUGGUACUGAAAACAUGAGCUGUGAAAACAACCAGCUUCGGCCCCAGCCACGGCUCACAUCAAUCACACAUCCUGCUCCCAGUCAGCACCCUUCGCUCCCCACCUAAGAGGUAAUGCCCUGCCUCAUAGAGAGAUGGGGACUCAGGAGGCAAUGCAACAGGUGAACAGUUUGCCUAGAGCAAAGGUCUUCACAGUCCAGCACCUCCCAAAGACUCUCUGUAACAGAAGAACCAAAAAGACAGCUCAGGGUAAAUUAUCAGGACUGAGAAGAAUCAGGAGAGAAAACACAAGAGGCUAGAGUGGUCCCAGCAGAAGCUCUCAAAGAGGUCAGAGCUUAAAAGGGCAUGAACCAAAGUUAGACAGCACAGAGCCAAGGGUCUCAACACUGGAGAAGCAUCUGUCAGUGAAAACUGGGAUUAAGCUGAGACCUGCAAAGCAAGUCUGCUACAAAAAGAGGGCUUGCUAGCCAAGAAACAGUCAGAGUGCAAAAGAACAAAGGAGCAGGGCACUAUUGUAUGAGGCUGAUGAGGCACAUUAAUGAAUGGCCCAGAAGGCAGAACUCUCAUCGCCUAUAUUCCUUUUGUCUCCUUUGCCAAGGGGAUUACUGAACUGGAAAAGAUAGAAAAUAGGUAAAAAUCAUUAUAUUUUAUAAAGCAGCUACUACGUAUCAGGCAGCAAUAUAUAUUCACAAUCUUGCUUAAUACUUAGAAGAGAUAUCAAUCAUGAUUCCACUUUAUAUGUGAGAAAAAUUAACCUCAUAGAGGUGAAGCAGCUUUCUCAUGAGUGCAGAACUAGUGAGUAGUCUAAUAUCUUCAUUUAGAUACUGUAUAUCUUAAGAGGGAAGCUUAAGAUGGAUGGGGGGCUCACUGGGGGUAAACAGCCCAGUGCUGACCCCAUUUAAGUUCACAGUCAAACCUCCCUGGACCAUUUUCAUACCAGCUGCAGUUUGCAGUUUAGACACAGCAUCCGCUAUUCAGAGAGUUGAUUUUCUUUUCUUUUUUCUCUCUUUUUUUUUUUUUUUUUUUUUUGGACAGAGUUUUACUCUGUCACCCAAGCUGGAGUGCGGUGGUGUGAUCUCAGCUCACUGCAACCUCUGCCUCUCAUGUUCAAGCGAUUUUCCUGUCUCAGCCUCCUGAGUAGAGUAGCCAGGAUUACAGGUGCACACCACCAUGCCCUAAUAAUUUUUGUAUUUUUAGUAGAGAUUGGGUUUCGCCCUGUUGGCCAGGCUGGUCUCGAACUCCUGACCUCAGGUGAUCUGCCCACCCUGGCCUCCCAAAGUGCUGAGAUUACAAGCGUGAGCCACCAUGCCCAGUCAGAAGUGUUGGUUUUCUGGACCUAGUGUGACAGGGGAACACUUCUUCCCCACUUCCUAUGCUGUCUGCAAUAUGGAGGGAUAGCUUUCAGUGUGACGUUCCUGGCCCCUCUGGCUCCUCUACCCUCCUCCCCCCAGGGAGGUGGAGCAAAGUAUCUGAUUGGUGAGUUUGGCAGAAAGAAUUGGACAUGAACAUUUUGCCUGGUGCAAAGGUCUUUUCUCUCUCUAGCAGGAGAACCAAAUGACAACUCGGAGGAAAUGAUCAGGACUGAGAAGGAGAGGAGAAAAUCCAAGAGGCCAGACCCUCACGUGGACCCUAUUGUCUCUUCCUUCCAACCUCCCAGCCUAUAAACACCUGUGCUAAGCCCAGCUGCCCAGCCCAGGCCCCAUCUGUGGGUGAGGCCUGAGACUUUUCGACCUUGCCUUGGCUGAGCACCGUUAUUACCACAUGCCUAAGACCCGUGCUCCAAUGCAUCUAUCAGGAAUAAAGCUGAUGUCUUAA